UACGGGAGGCAGCAGUGGGGGAAUAUUGCACAAUGGGCGCAAGCCUGAUGCAGCCAUGCCGCGUGUAUGAAGAAGGCCUUCGGGUUGUAAAGUACUUUCAGUCGUGAGGAAGGUGUUAAGGUUAAUAACCUUAGCAAUUGACGUUAGCGACAGAAGAAGCACCGGCUAACUCCGUGCCAGCAGCCGCGGUAAUACGGAGGGUGCGAGCGUUAAUCGGAAUUACUGGGCGUUAAAGGGCACGCAGGCGGUUAAUUAAGUUGGAUGUGAAAUCCCCGGGCUUAACCUGGGAAUGGCAUUCAAGACUGGUUAGCUAGAGUCUUGUAGAGGGGGUAGAAUUCCAUGUGUAGCGGUGAAAUGCGUAGAGAUGUGGAGGAAUACCGGUGGCGAAGGCGGCCCCUGGACAAAGACUGACGCUCAUGUGCGAAAGCGUGGGGAGCAAACAGGGAUUAGAUACC
This 455-nucleotide ribosomal RNA is filed under the name uncultured bacterium. RNAcentral describes it as "bacterial SSU rRNA". It matches the Rfam family "Bacterial small subunit ribosomal RNA", at positions 340 to 786 of the family's 1533-position model. The record is from RNAcentral.